GAUACGUGACCUAGAACAUGAAACCAUCAAUCACCACCUCGUUGAAUAUUCUUUCGUACAGUAAUGAGGAAACAAUUAUUAUUAUAAUCAUAAUGAAGCGUUAAACCCUUAACAGUCAUGUAGAAACGAGAGAAACUUAUUACGAUGAGCGACGCUCUAAACACGUAUCUUAGCGCUUCUUUUUGAUAAUAAUAAUAAUAAUUUAAACACGUACGUGUCAUACAGCAGCUGUGCGAGUGAGGUGUAAUCGGAUUUUGAUCGCGGGUUCUAUCCCCAUCCGUGGUAUGGUUUGUUUGCAAUAGUGUCAUUACGAUUUCGUGAGUCAAAGUCACACCGAGGUCCGGGGUUCCCAUCUCUGGUACGGCUGGAAAACAUUACGGACGUGUUUCUAUAAGACACCUGCUGUUCCUGUUCUUCCAUCAGUAAAAUGUGUACCUGGGUGUUAGUGGACUGGUGUGGGUCGCAUCCUGGGACACUGACCUAAUUUGUGGAAAAUGCUCAACAUAACUAGGGGCUUUCUAUAUAGCAGUGUUGAAGGCAUUAGUCUGCUGUGAGAGUAACGUGUUUUACAGCAUCAACCUUCCACCACACUUUGAGCUACAUAACUAUUAUAUUCAUAAGGAAGCAGUAAGCUCAUGGGUCAUAUAACCUGGGAUAUGCGAGGCAGUCAGGCUUGAACUAUGGAAGAAAUAGGUGGCUUCAGUUCCUUAAACCAAGAGCCCUUCGGUAUCAAAACAAUCCUACCUUCUUGAAUGUACUUGGAAUUUGAAUGGAGGUUACUGUAUUAUUAUAUUCACAAAUACAUCACAAAGCAAUUGUUUAUGUUGUUAAUAGGAAAGUACAGUGGACCCUUGACCAACGAUAUUAAUCCAUUCCUGAGGGCUCAUCGUUAGUCGAAAUUAUCGUUAGUCGAGUUAAUUUUCCCCAUAAGAAAUAAUGGAAAUCAAAUUAAUCCGUGCAAGACACCCAAAAGUAAUGAAAAAAAAAAAAAUUUACCACAUGAAAUAUUAAUUUUAAUACACACAAACUGAAGAAGACAUGUACAAUUACAUGACACUUACCUUUAUUGAAGAUCUGGUGAUGAUUGAUGGGAUGAGAGGAGGGGAAACCGUUGAUCUUGUUAGUGUUUAGAAGGGGAAUCCCCUUCCAUUAGCACUUGAGGUGUCAAGUCCUUUUCCGGGGUUACUUCCCUUCUUCUUUUAAUGCCACUAGGACCAGCUUGAGAGUCACUGGACCUCUGUCGCACAACAUAUCUGUCCAUAGAGGCCUGUACCUCCUGUUCCUUUAUGACAUUCCUGAAGUGUUUCACAACAUUGUCAGUUUGAUAGUCACCAGCACGGCUUGCAAUAGCUGUGUGAGGGUGAUUUUCAUCAAAAAAGGUUUGCACUUUAAGCCACAUUGCACACAUUUCCUUAAGCUUUGAAGUAGACAACUUCUUCAAUUUCUCUAUCCCCUCCUCCGGAGCAGUUUCCUCAGGUCUGGCCUCUUGCUGUUGAAGAUGAUCUUGCAGCUCAUCAGUGGUUAGUUCAUUGUCGUCCUCCACCAACUCUUCCACAUCCUCCCCACUAACCUCCAACCCCAAGGACUUCCGCAAUGCCACAGUUGAUUCCACAACUGGCAUAGGCUUCUCAGGGUUAGCCUCAAAUCCUUCAAAAUCCCUUUUGUCUACACAUUCUGGCCACAAUUUCUUCCAAGCAGAGUUCAAGGUCCUCUUAGUCACUUCCUCCCAGGCUUUGCCUAUAAUGUUUACACAAUUGAGGAUGCUAAAGUGAUCUCUCCAAAACUCUCUUAGAGUCAAUUGAGUUUCUGAGGUCACUACAAAGCACCUUUCAAACAUAGCUUUUGUGUAGAGUUUUUUGAAGUUUGCAAUGACCUGCUGGUCCAUGGGCUGCAGGAGAGGAGUGGUAUUAGGAGGCAAAAACUUGACCUUAAUGAAGCUCAUGUCCCCAGAAAGUCGCUCUGCCACGACUGAAGGAUAACCAGGAGCACUGUCUAAUACCAGGAGGCACUUAAGGUCCAAUUUAUUUUCCAGGAGGUAAUUUUUCACAGUGGGGGCAAAUGCAUGGUGUAACCAGUCAUAGAAAAGGUCUCUAGUGACCCAUGCCUUACUGUUUGCCCUCCACAUCACACACAAAUUAGCCUUGAGGACAUUGUUUUUCCUGAACACUCUGGGAGUUUCAGAGUGAUACACCAAUAAAGGCUUCACUUUGCAAUCACCACUAGCAUUAGCACACAUCAACAGAGUAAGCCUGUCUUUCAUAGGCUUAUGUCCUGGGAAUGCCUUUUCCUCCUGAGUAAUGUAGGUCCUGCUUUGCAUUUUCUUCCAAAACAGGCCUGUUUCGUCACAAUUAAACACUUGUUCAGGUUUCAAUUCUUCACUGUCUAUGUACUCCUUGAAUUCCUGCACAUAUUUUUCAGCUGCAUUUUGGUCCGAACUGGCAGCCUCACCAUGCCUUAUCACACUAUGUAUGCCACUACGAUUCUUAAAUCUCUCAAACCAACCUUUGCUGGCCUUAAAUUCACUCACAUCACCACUAGUUGCAGGCAUUUUUCUAAUUAAAUCGUCAUGCAACUUCCUAGCCUUUUCACAUAUGAUCGCUUGAGAGAUGCUAUCUCCUACUAUCUGUUUUUCGUUUAUCCACACCAAUAACACUCUCUCAACAUCUCCUAUCACUUGCGAUCUCAGUUUCGAAAACAUAGUUGCACCUUUGGCAAGAACAGCUUCCUUGAUUGCCGUUUUCUUGGCCACAAUAGUAGCGAUGGUUGAUUGGGGUUUUGUGUACAACCUGGCCAGCUCGGAGACACGCACUCCACUUUCAUACUUAGCAAUGAUCUCUUUCUUCAUAUCCAUAGUAAUUCUCACCCUUUUUGCUGUAGGGUUAGCACUAGAAGCUUUCUUGGGGCCCAUGAUGACUUAUUUUGCAGGUGCAAUCACUAAAAAUGCUGUGAUAAUAUGAAAUGUUCCGAUUGCAUGUUUGGAUGGGACCGCGGUGGCUGGCUGGCUUGUAAACACUGGCACCCACGGGACAAGUGAGGCGUGCUCAGGCCACAAGUGGAUGCGUUUCGAACAGAACGAAUAGCGUUGGUCGAGUUUUUUAGCGCUAGUCGAGGCAAAAUUUUUGCGUUGAAAUGUAUCGCUAGUCAGAUUUAACGUUAUACGAUGCCAUCAUUGGUCGAGCGUCCACUGUACUAAACUUGUACAGUUCAUACAUCUAUCACAAAGUAGAAAAUACACCUACCAUCCGACUUACGACCUGCUCGACUUGCGACCACUCGACUUACGACCGUGUUUUUUAUGCCAAAUUUCUGGGAAAUAUACAACUAUUUGUGUUGUACACAGUGUUUAUCCUAAACCUUACAAUAUAAAAUACAGUACUAACAACAUAAAAAGUAAAGUAAAACAUGAAAUACCAAAAUAAAACAAUAAAAUAAAGUCAUUACAAAAAUGUUUUGUUGAUAUUCAGCAGUAAAGUUUGACUUACGACCAUUUCAACUUACAACCGGUUUCUCGGAACCGAACUCGGUCGUAAGUCGGAUGGUAGAUGUAUAAACAAAAACAUCUGCAAUACAGUUUUGUGCGGUUGAGCUUCAAAUGUUUACAUUAUCCACUCAGAUAAGGCAGAGUAACAAAUUAUUAUAUUGUUAUAUUCAGUGGAGAUGCUAAACCCCUGAGGGUCAUACAGCGCCUGAGAAAUGGAAGUACGUAAUCAUGUUUGACCCAAAUGUACUGUUACUCUGAUUGCAGAAAGCGCUACACAGUCAUACCCCACUUCAUGUCAUUUCAGCCUACCUCAAAUUUACCUUUACGCCACUUUUCUGGAGUAAAUUUCAGUUCAGUGAAUGUCAUUAUGUCCAACUUUGUGUCUCAGCAAUGUCACCUACAUCAUGAUUUUUUUAAUUGUUUUCAUUAUUCUUUAAAAAAUGUGACUAAAAUGUGUUUUUAGUGUUCUUUAAGGUUUAGCAAUAGUUAUAUUCUUUUGUGAGUUAUUUGUGCUAGUUUUACAGUGUUUGUCAUCAUUUUAAAGCAUUAUGUCCGGUUUACGUCAAAAACCGGGUUACCUCACAGCUCUUUGAACCAAUUACCACUAAUGACCACAUGAACUGUUAGUGUCUUACUAAUCUUAACCCUUUGACUGUCGCGGCCGUAUAUAUACGUUUGUGAGGUACCGUGUUUGACGUAUAUAUACUCAUAAAUUCUAGCGGCUUCAAAUCAGGCAGGAGAAAGCUAGUAGGCCCACAUGUGAGAGAAUGGGUCUGUGUGGUCAGUGUGCACCACAUAAAAAAAAUCCUGGAGCACGCAGUGCAUAAUGAGAAAAAAAAACUCCGACCGUUUUUUUUAAUUAAAAUGCCGACUUUGUGGUCUAUUUCAUAUA
Molecule: non-coding RNA, 4373 nt
Organism: Cherax quadricarinatus
Lineage: Eukaryota; Metazoa; Arthropoda; Malacostraca; Decapoda; Parastacidae
Source: RefSeq, a predicted model, not a curated record